Molecule: transfer RNA, 73 nt
Filed under: Caudoviricetes sp.
Lineage: Duplodnaviria; Heunggongvirae; Uroviricota; Caudoviricetes
Description: tRNA-Leu
Rfam family: tRNA
About the family: Transfer RNA (tRNA) molecules are approximately 80 nucleotides in length. Their secondary structure includes four short double-helical elements and three loops (D, anti-codon, and T loops). Further hydrogen bonds mediate the characteristic L-shaped molecular structure. tRNAs have two regions of fundamental functional importance: the anti-codon, which is responsible for specific mRNA codon recognition, and the 3' end, to which the tRNAs corresponding amino acid is attached (by aminoacyl-tRNA synthetases). tRNAs cope with the degeneracy of the genetic code in two manners: having more than one tRNA (with a specific anti-codon) for a particular amino acid; and 'wobble' base-pairing, i.e. permitting non-standard base-pairing at the 3rd anti-codon position.
Source: RNAcentral
GCCAUAGUAGAGAAUUGGCAUAUCGACUUGACUCAAAAUCAAGGGUUUGUGGGUUCGAAUCCCACCUAUGGCA